UACAGGGGGUGCAAACGUUGCUCGGAAUCAUUGGGCGUAAAGCGCACGUAGGCGGUCUGUUAUGUCGGAUGUGAAAGCCCUUGGCUCAACUGAGGAAGUGCAUCCGAAACUGGCAGGCUAGAGUACUAAAGAGGAUCGCGGAAUUCCCGGUGUAGAGGUGAAAUUCGUAGAUAUCGGGAGGAACACCGGUGGCGAAGGCGGCGAUCUGGGUAGAUACUGACGCUGAGGUGCGAAAGCGUGGGGAGCGAACCGG
RNAcentral lists this ribosomal RNA (253 nucleotides) under uncultured bacterium. Its description in RNAcentral is "partial 16S ribosomal RNA". It matches the Rfam family "Bacterial small subunit ribosomal RNA", at positions 524 to 776 of the family's 1533-position model. The record is from RNAcentral.